UCCGGUUGAUCCUGGCAGAGGUUACUGCUAUCGAGGUUCAACUAAGCCAUGCGAGUCGAAUGUAGCAAUACAUGGCGAACUGCUCAGUAACACGUGGACAACCUGCCCUUAGGACGGGGAUAAACCCGGGAAACUGGGUAUAAUACCCGAUAGGUCUCGAUUGCUGGAAUGCAUCGAGAUUUAAAGCUCCGGCGCCUAAGGAUGGGUCUGCGGCCUAUCAGGUAGUAGUGGGUGUAGCGUACCUACUAGCCUACGACGGGUACGGGUUGUGAGAGCAAGAGCCCGGAGAUGGAUUCUGAGACACGAAUCCAGGCCCUACGGGGUGCAGCAGGCGCGAAAACUUUACAAUGCUGGCAACAGCGAUAAGGGAACCUCGAGUGCCAGGUUACAAAUCUGGCUGUCGAGAUGCCUAAAAAGCAUUUCAUAGCAAGGGCCGGGCAAGACCGGUGCCAGCCGCCGCGGUAACACCGGCGGCUCGAGUGGUAACCGUUAUUAUUGGG
RNAcentral lists this ribosomal RNA (500 nucleotides) under uncultured methanogenic archaeon. RNAcentral describes it as "bacterial SSU rRNA". It matches the Rfam family "Archaeal small subunit ribosomal RNA", at positions 1 to 508 of the family's 1478-position model. Lineage: Archaea; Methanobacteriati; Methanobacteriota. The record is from RNAcentral.